GACGAACGCUGGCGGCGUGCUUAACACAUGCAAGUCGAACGGAAAGGCCCUGCUUGCAGGGUACUCGAGUGGCGAACGGGUGAGUAACACGUGGGUGAUCUGCCCUGCACUUCGGGAUAAGCCUGGGAAACUGGGUCUAAUACCGGAUAGGAGCCAUUUUUAGUGUGAUGGUUGGAAAGUUUUUUCGGUGUAGGAUGAGCUCGCGGCCUAUCAGCUUGUUGGUGGGGUAAUGGCCUACCAAGGCGGCGACGGGUAGCCGGCCUGAGAGGGUGGACGGCCACCUUGGGACUUAGAUACGGGCCAGAAGCCUACCGGAGGCAGCAGGGGGGAAUAUUUCACAAUGGGGGCAAGCCUGAUGCAGCGACGCCGCGUGGGGGAUGACGGCCUUCGGGUUGUAAACUCCUUUCGCUAGGGACGAAGCUUUUGUGACGGUACCUAGAUAAGAAGCACCGGCUAACUACGUG
This 464-nucleotide ribosomal RNA is filed under the name uncultured bacterium. RNAcentral's name for it is "partial 16S ribosomal RNA". It matches the Rfam family "Bacterial small subunit ribosomal RNA", at positions 28 to 507 of the family's 1533-position model. The record is from RNAcentral.